AUGGUUGUUGUCAGCUCGUGUCGUGAGAUGUUGGGUUAAGUCCCGCAACGAGCGCAACCCCUGUGGUUAGUUGCCAUCAUUUAGUUGGGCACUCUAAGCAGACUGCCGUGGAUAACACGGAGGAAGGUGGGGACGACGUCAAAUCAUCAUGCCCCUUAUGACCUGGGCUACACACGUGCUACAAUGGUCUGAACAGAGGGCUGCGAAACCGCGAGGUGAAGCUAAUCCCUUAAAACGGAUCUCAGUUCGGAUUGCAGGCUGCAACUCGCCUGCAUGAAGUUGGAGUUGCUAGUAAUCGCAGAUCAGAAUGCUGCGGUGAAUGCGUUCCCGGGUCUUGUACACACCGCCCGUCACACCACGAGAGUUGGCAACACCCGAAGUCAGUGAGGUAACCGCAAGGAACCAGCUGCCGAAGGUGGGGUCAGUAAUUGGGGUGAAGUCGUAACAAGGUAGCCGUAUCGGAAGGUGCGGCUGGAUCACC
RNAcentral lists this ribosomal RNA (481 nucleotides) under uncultured bacterium. RNAcentral describes it as "bacterial SSU rRNA". It matches the Rfam family "Bacterial small subunit ribosomal RNA", at positions 1045 to 1527 of the family's 1533-position model. The record is from RNAcentral.